RNAcentral lists this ribosomal RNA (427 nucleotides) under uncultured bacterium. RNAcentral's name for it is "partial 16S ribosomal RNA". It matches the Rfam family "Bacterial small subunit ribosomal RNA", at positions 355 to 774 of the family's 1533-position model. The record is from RNAcentral.
UGGGGAAUAUUGCACAAUGGGCGCAAGCCUGAUGCAGCCAUGCCGCGUGUAUGAAAAAGGCCUUCGGGUUGUAAAGUACUUUCAGCGGGGAGGAAGGUGUUGUGGUUAAUAACCACAGCAAUUGACGUUACCCGCAGAAGAAGCACCGGCUAACUCCGUGCCAGCAGCCGCGGUAAUACGGAGGGUGCAAGCGUUAAUCGGAAUUACUGGGCGUAAAGCGCACGCAGGCGGUCUGUCAAGUCGGAUGUGAAAUCCCCGGGCUCAACCUGGGAACUGCAUCCGAAACUGGCAGGCUUGAGUCUUGUAGAGGGGGGUAGAAUUCCAGGUGUAGCGGUGAAAUGCGUAGAGAUCUGGAGGAAUACCGGUGGCGAAGGCGGCCCCCUGGACAAAGACUGACGCUCAGGUGCGAAAGCGUGGGGAGCAAACA